UGUGGAGUGGAAUUGUGGUUUGAGUGUUAUACUGCAACUCUGGAGACCAGGGUUCGAUUCCCCGCUCAGCCA
Phrynosoma platyrhinos (Desert horned lizard) is the source of this 72-nucleotide non-coding RNA. The record is from the annotation of a GenBank genome assembly. NCBI's taxonomy places the organism in Eukaryota, Metazoa, Chordata, Lepidosauria, Squamata, Phrynosomatidae.